AGAGCAGACCUUCCCAGCAAGGAGCAGAAUCAGAUAGCGUCUGACCUGUCACUUCCUCCUCCUCUUCUCAGAAGCUGGAAGACUGCAGUUCCUGGCUCCCACAUCCUCAUCUCUACUCAGAUAUGUGCAUCAACUAUUGAUAAUUAUAAGAAGUCCAGGGUUCUUCAGUGGCAUCUGAUCCCUGCCUUGAUAUCUUCAGGGAGCUCAGAACUCAGAUCUUAAAAUGGCAAAGGAUGUAGCAUUUCCUGGAAUGGCUCAUGACAGAUAUUCUUCCUCUGAGUACUAGUUUAGACUUACAGUGGGAGGAAAUCCCAGCAGAUAACAGGAAAAAAUAGUUUUGAUUUUAAGAAGAAAAGAGCUUAAAAGGAAACAGGAAGCUGAUGUUGGCAGUCUGACCUGUGCUGCAUGAGGAAUCUGAUUUCAAAAGCCUUCCCAAAUGCAGGCUUAAGGGAUGCAAACUGCCAUGACGUUUGCAGCAAUUGAGGAAUUCUGUCAUUGGCUCACACUGCUCUCUCUUUUAUAGGAAAGUGAAAGCAUAAGACUUAGUAUGUCACUGUUAUGUGCUUAUGCAUUCUUGAUCCUACAAAAACUGCAAAAAAAAAAAGACUAUGAAAAGGUCAGAGUCCACCAAGAAAUGCAGGUGUUCAGCAGAGCUCUGGAAGCGAAUAGGAGGAGGUCACCAGUGCUAUGGCUGAAGCUUUUCAUGAAUUUCCAUAGAAUCUUAAUGAGUUCUAAAGAACGUUGCUCUUAUUUCUGAAACCGUUCAUUUUGAUCUCUUUUAGAACUAAGAGGCUAGUAACAGAUAACUUAUUUGUACAGAGCCUUGUUUUGAAACAGCACAUUGAAAAAAAAAAAAUGAAACCUCAGUCUGCAGCACCUGACUUGGAUUUCUGAAGAACUCUGUCACCUUCCAUCCACUCUGGUGUGUCUGUGGAG
This is a long non-coding RNA of Gallus gallus (chicken), 936 nucleotides long. NCBI's taxonomy places the organism in Eukaryota, Metazoa, Chordata, Aves, Galliformes, Phasianidae. The record is from Ensembl.